This 419-nucleotide unclassified non-coding RNA is filed under the name Hevea brasiliensis (rubber tree). Lineage: Eukaryota; Viridiplantae; Streptophyta; Magnoliopsida; Malpighiales; Euphorbiaceae. The record is from RNAcentral.
AAAAAAAAAAAAAAGGCUUUCUAUUCAUCCGGAAGUCCCACAUACCCACAAACAAAUGAGUUGAGGACCCCGAAAAAUAACCACUUAACAAAAGCAGAAACAUAGAGGUCAUCUGCAGAAUGUGCACCUGCAAACAGUGCAUAUUCACAUAGAACCAACUCUAGACCUACAAAUGCGGAUAAAAGAAAACCUGAAAGCUCUCCAGUUCUUUAAUCGUCCAUCAGCCAAGCUAUAGCCCCCAAUCCAAUUAGCAAACAAUUAUCGCCGACAGAAGAUGCGAGGAUUAUGUUUUUAAAUUCUGUUCACUAGCUAAACAAACUGUCCUGAAUCCUAUUCAGCAACUUGUUAUCAAUCAAAGACAUUGAUUUGAUUAUGACUGAUAUGAUCUUAUAUGAGUUUAGAGAUGGUCCAUGUCUAUG